RNAcentral lists this ribosomal RNA (1343 nucleotides) under uncultured bacterium. RNAcentral's name for it is "16S ribosomal RNA". It matches the Rfam family "Bacterial small subunit ribosomal RNA", at positions 28 to 1378 of the family's 1533-position model. The record is from RNAcentral.
GACGAACGCUGGCGGCGUGCUUAACACAUGCAAGUCGAACGGAAAGGCCCUGCUUUUGUGGGGUGCUCGAGUGGCGAACGGGUGAGUAACACGUGAGUAACCUGCCCUUGACUUUGGGAUAACUUCAGGAAACUGGGGCUAAUACCGGAUAGGAGCUCCUGCUGCAUGGUGGGGGUUGGAAAGUUUCGGCGGUUGGGGAUGGACUCGCGGCUUAUCAGCUUGUUGGUGGGGUAGUGGCUUACCAAGGCUUUGACGGGUAGCCGGCCUGAGAGGGUGACCGGCCACAUUGGGACUGAGAUACGGCCCAGACUCCUACGGGAGGCAGCAGUGGGGAAUAUUGCACAAUGGGCGGAAGCCUGAUGCAACAACGCCGCGUGCGGGAUGACGGCCUUCGGGUUGUAAACCGCUUUCGCCUGUGACGAAGCGUGAGUGACGGUAAUGGGUAAAGAAGCACCGGCUAACUACGUGCCAGCAGCCGCGGUGAUACGUAGGGUGCGAGCGUUGUCCGGAUUUAUUGGGCGUAAAGGGCUCGUAGGUGGUUGAUCGCGUCGGAAGUGUAAUCUUGGGGCUUAACCCUGAGCGUGCUUUCGAUACGGGUUGACUUGAGGAAGGUAGGGGAGAAUGGAAUUCCUGGUGGAGCGGUGGAAUGCGCAGAUAUCAGGAGGAACACCAGUGGCGAAGGCGGUUCUCUGGGCCUUUCCUGACGCUGAGGAGCGAAAGCGUGGGGAGCGAACAGGCUUAGAUACCCUGGUAGUCCACGCUGUAAACGGUGGGUACUAGGUGUGGGGUCCAUUCCACGGGUUCCGUGCCGUAGCUAACGCUUUAAGUACCCCGCCUGGGGAGUACGGCCGCAAGGCUAAAACUCAAAGGAAUUGACGGGGCCCCGCACAAGCGGCGGAGCAUGCGGAUUAAUUCGAUGCAACGCGUAGAACCUUACCUGGGUUUGACAUGGAUCGGGAGUGCUCAGAGAUGGGUGUGCCUCUUUUGGGGUCGGUUCACAGAUGGUGCAUGCCUGUCGUCAGCUCGUGUCGUGAGAUGUUGGGUUAAGUCCCGCAACGAGCGCAACCCUUGUUCACUGUUGCCAGCACGUUAUGGUGGGGACUCAGUGGAGACCGCCGGGGUCAACUCGGAGGAAGGUGGGGAUGACGUCAAGUCCUCAUGCCCCUUAUGUCCAGGGCUUCACGCAUGCUACAAUGGCUGGUACAGAGAGUGGCGAGCCUGUGAGGGUGAGCGAAUCUCGGAAAGCCGGUCUCAGUUCGGAUUGGGGUCUGCAACUCGACCUCAUGAAGUCGGAGUCGCUAGUAAUCGCAAAUCAGCAACGCUGCGGUGAAUACGUUCCCGGG